GAAGUGCGAUAAGCAAUGCGAAUUGCAGAACCGUGAGUCAUCAGAUUUUUGAACGCAAUUGGCGCCGACUGGCUAUCCAGACGGCAUGCUUGUUUCAGUGUCUUGUUUUCUCCUCACCCAAAUCUUAAUGUGAGAGAUACCCUUCUCUUACUAAGUACGAAAGCACUCUGAGCCCUGCAAGCGACUUGGCUUCGGCCAAUUUGUCGCACUCAAUGCAGCAGUCACAUUUUUCAAAUGUGAACUCAUUGAGAGUAGAGUCAGCGCAGUUUACUGUUAGUGCUUAGACCCUCAAACUCUUCUUGCAUCUGAAAUCAAGCAGGAUCACCCGCUGAACUUAA
This 338-nucleotide unclassified non-coding RNA is filed under the name uncultured fungus. RNAcentral's name for it is "sequence contains ITS1". The stretch from base 1 to 103 matches the Rfam family "5.8S ribosomal RNA", at positions 50 to 154 of the family's 154-position model. Lineage: Eukaryota; Fungi. The record is from RNAcentral.